This 1107-nucleotide ribosomal RNA is filed under the name uncultured organism. Its description in RNAcentral is "bacterial SSU rRNA". It matches the Rfam family "Bacterial small subunit ribosomal RNA", at positions 60 to 1199 of the family's 1533-position model. The record is from RNAcentral.
AGUCGAGCGAUGAGGCCCUCUUCGGGGGGUACAUCAGCGGGAGACGGGUGAGUAACACGUAGGUGAUCUACCCCAGAGACGGGGAUAACGGGUGGAAACAUCCGCUAAUACCGGAUAGGCUUGUUCGGUCAAAGGGACAAGGAAAGGCUCCGGCGCUCUGGGAGGAGCCUGCGGCCCAUCAGCUAGUUGGCGGGGUAACGGCCCACCAAGGCAGAGACGGCUAGGGGGUGUGAGAGCAUGGCCCCCCACAAUGGGACUGGAACACGGCCCAUACUCCUACGGGAGGCAGCAGCAGGGAAUAUUGCACAAUGGACGGAAGUCUGAUGCAGCGACGCCGCGUGGAUGAAGACAGGCCCUCGGGUUGUAAAAUCCUUUACAGGGGGAAGAGGAAGGACGGUACCCCUGGAACAAGUGUCGGCUAACUACGUGCCAGCAGCCGCGGUAAGACGUAGGACACAAGCGUUAUCCGGAUUUACUGGGCGUAAAGCGUCUGCAGGCGGACAGGUAAGUCGGGCGUGAAAGCUCCGGGCCCAACCCGGAGAGGUCGUUCAAUACUGCGUGUCUAAAGGGUGUCGUAGGGGACGUGGAAUUUCCGGAGUAGCGGUCAAAUGCGCAGAGAUCGGAACGAACACCAAUGGCGAAGGCAGUUCCCUGGGGCAACCCUGACGCUAAGAGACGAAAGCUAGGGGAGCGAACAGGAUUCGAGACCCUGGUAGUCCUAGCCCUAAACGAUGGAUGCUUGGAUGUGGGUGCCUAGCGCUCCGUGUCGAAGUGAACGCGUUCAGCAUCCCUGCCUGGGGACUACGGCCGCAAGGUUAAAACUCAGACGAUUUGUCGGGACUCCGCACAAGCAGCGGAGCGUGUGGUUUAAUUCAAUGCUACACGAAGAACCUUACCUGGGUUUGACAUCUAGCUGGUAGUGAAGCGAAAGCGGAGCGACCCUUCGGGGAGCCUAGACAGGUGCUGCAUGGCUGUCGUCAGCUCGCGCCGUGAGGUGUCGGGUUAAGUCCCGUAACGAGCGCAACCAUUGCCCUCCGUUAUACGUGUCAGAGGCGACUGCCGCCGGUAAGCCGGAGGAAGCUGGGGAUGACAUCAAGUCAGCAUGGC